This 94-nucleotide non-coding RNA is filed under the name Paenibacillus swuensis. Its description in RNAcentral is "c-di-GMP sequence". It matches the Rfam family "c-di-GMP-I riboswitch aptamer". Rfam says of the family: GEMM was predicted in a large-scale screen for bacterial structured RNA regulatory elements. The record is from RNAcentral. Lineage: Bacteria; Bacillati; Bacillota; Bacilli; Caryophanales; Paenibacillaceae.
AUACGAAAAAGGCAAACCUGUCGAAAGGCGGGGACGCAAAGCCGCGGGUCUACAGCUCAAAAAUCAUUUGAGUCAUGACAGCCGGGUUGCCAGA